AUUGAACGCUGGCGGCAGGCCUAACACAUGCAAGUCGAGCGGAUGAAGGGAGCUUGCUCCUGGAUUCAGCGGCGGACGGGUGAGUAAUGCCUAGGAAUCUGCCUGGUAGUGGGGGAUAACGUCCGGAAACGGGCGCUAAUACCGCAUACGUCCUGAGGGAGAAAGUGGGGGAUCUUCGGACCUCACGCUAUCAGAUGAGCCUAGGUCGGAUUAGCUAGUUGGUGGGGUAAAGGCCUACCAAGGCGACGAUCCGUAACUGGUCUGAGAGGAUGAUCAGUCACACUGGAACGGAGACACGGUCCAGAGUCCUACGGGAGGCAGCAGUGGGGAAUAUUGGACAAUGGGCGAAAGCCUGCUCCAGCCAUGCCGCGUGUGUGAAGAAGGUCUUCGGAUUGUAAAGCACUUUAAGUUGGGAGGAAGGGCAGUAAGUUAAUACCUUGCUGUUUUGACGUUACCAACAGAAUAAGCACCGGCUAACUUCGUG
RNAcentral lists this ribosomal RNA (484 nucleotides) under uncultured bacterium. Its description in RNAcentral is "partial 16S ribosomal RNA". It matches the Rfam family "Bacterial small subunit ribosomal RNA", at positions 30 to 507 of the family's 1533-position model. The record is from RNAcentral.